ACGGGACACCUGCAUCUGCCAACAAGACUGGAAGCAGAAAGGGACAGAGACGGCGAAGUUUGACGGUCUGGAAAGCAGAGACCAGCAGGGCUGACUGCUUGGGAGCACCAAAUAUCCGGACAGCGCCUCUCGGGAGGUCCGAGAAGAGAACCGCGAUCUGUUUCAGCACCGGGGCUCAGGACAGUUCCCAGCGGGCUCCGUUUCGUCUCCAGAACCCUGGACAGCUCCUCCAGUAGAGACGGGGUUUCACCAUGUUGGCCAGGCUGGUCUCAAACUCUUGACCUCUUCAUCCGUCCACCUCAGCCUCCCAAAGUGCUAGGAUUACAGGCGUGAGUCACUGCGCCUGGCCCAAGUCCGGAAUUUUCAACAGGACAUGGGUGUUACUGUGCCCAUGUGACAUUUGGGGAACCCAAGGCCCUGAGAAAGGCAGAAAAAUAACCCACGCAGGGACUCUCAGCCCACAAGUGAAGCUCUUGGAAUGCACUCCCUCCACCUCCAACCAGAGCUCCCCACAACUGACCCUGCCUUCUUCUGCAAGCUCCAUUUCAUCAAGGGAAACGAUCCUUAUUGCCUCACCAUUUCCCACGUGAAGUCUGUAUUGACAUUCUCAUAGACCUGGGAUAUUGUGUCUGCAGCACAUAGUCCAAUUAUUUUCAUGUUAUCUACUGACAGGUCUAUUUGUCUCCCUGUUACACUGUGAGCUCCGUGAGGGCAGAAACAAUGUUAGUAUUUUCACUGCUGUGUCCCCAGCGCCUGGUCCGGGGCCCGGCACACAGCAGGCAUAUAAUAAGCAUGUGUUGAAUCAAUAAAGGCAUCAAAGAAUAAACCAAUACAUCAAUCAAUAAA
Molecule: long non-coding RNA, 846 nt
Filed under: Homo sapiens (human)
Lineage: Eukaryota; Metazoa; Chordata; Mammalia; Primates; Hominidae
Description: HSALNT0395819
Source: RNAcentral